This 76-nucleotide transfer RNA is filed under the name Candidatus Woesebacteria bacterium RIFCSPHIGHO2_01_FULL_38_9. Its description in RNAcentral is "tRNA-Met". It matches the Rfam family "tRNA". Rfam says of the family: Transfer RNA (tRNA) molecules are approximately 80 nucleotides in length. Their secondary structure includes four short double-helical elements and three loops (D, anti-codon, and T loops). Lineage: Bacteria; Candidatus Woeseibacteriota. The record is from RNAcentral.
GCCAGCGUAGCUCAGUGGCAGUAGCGACCGUUUCAUAAGCGGUAGGUCACUGGUUCGAUCCCAGUCGCUGGCACCC